AUCCGAGUGGUGAAAUGGAAGACACAACAAAUUUAAACUUUGUAGGCUAACUGCCGUAAAGGUUCAAGUCCUUUCUCGGAUA
Molecule: non-coding RNA, 82 nt
Organism: Daldinia eschscholtzii
Lineage: Eukaryota; Fungi; Ascomycota; Sordariomycetes; Xylariales; Hypoxylaceae
Source: the annotation of a GenBank genome assembly